RNAcentral lists this long non-coding RNA (203 nucleotides) under Elaeis guineensis (African oil palm). RNAcentral describes it as "long non-coding RNA (EGUI_LNC032850)". Lineage: Eukaryota; Viridiplantae; Streptophyta; Magnoliopsida; Arecales; Arecaceae. The record is from RNAcentral.
GACACUCUACACUUCCUACACCUAGAGGUGUGGGUCUAUAUGCUAGAUUGUGCUUGUCAGUAUGUUGCUCACUUGUGAUAACAUGUGCUUUACAAAAAUAAUAAUAGUUUGUUAUAGCAUAAUAAAGUGUGUGUCAUGCAUUAGUAGGUCAUUACCUAAUUGAGGUUUAGUUAUUACCUGACCUUCAUGCUAUUGGGCAUAGU